AGAUGUGAGAGCAAUCUGGCUGAGACAUCUGUCACCUCUUUGUUCGUCAGUACUGACUCUUCUGAGCUGACUGAUGAGGCAGAUGCCCCUCUUCCUUCCUCACGGCACCAUGUGUGCCGUUCCCCACGAUGCUGCAUACGUGGAAGUACUGGCAAGCAAGCAAGAAGAGAAACCAUCACCAUGAGCAAGACUGUCUAAGGAAAGUGGAGUGCAAGGAGGAGGGGUCCUGGGAGCUAGUGUUAGGGUACACUAACGU
Molecule: small RNA, 256 nt
Filed under: Urocitellus parryii (Arctic ground squirrel)
Lineage: Eukaryota; Metazoa; Chordata; Mammalia; Rodentia; Sciuridae
Description: 7SK RNA (ENSUPAG00010006382.1)
Rfam family: 7SK RNA (bases 1-183)
About the family: 7SK was discovered as an abundant small nuclear RNA in the mid-70s but a possible function has only recently been suggested.
Source: RNAcentral